This 216-nucleotide ribosomal RNA is filed under the name Glomeromycotina sp. RNAcentral's name for it is "partial small subunit ribosomal RNA". The stretch from base 75 to 216 matches the Rfam family "Eukaryotic small subunit ribosomal RNA", at positions 721 to 864 of the family's 1831-position model. The record is from RNAcentral. Lineage: Eukaryota; Fungi; Glomeromycota.
GGGUCAGUAGGUUGGUCGUGCCACCGGUACGUACUGGUCUCACUGAUCCCUCCUUCCUGAAGAACCGUAAUGCCAUUAAUUUGGUGUUGCGGGGAAACAGGACUGUUGCUUUGAAAAAAUUAGAGUGUUUAAAGCAAGCUAACGCUUGAAUACAUUAGCAUGGAAUAAUGAAAUAGGACGAUCGAUCCUAUUUUGUUGGUUUCUAGGAUUGACGUA